AGUCUGCAUCCCCAAUCAUAUCCCCAUAGACCCAUGUGAUCAGGCAGUUGUUUUUCUUCUGUGUUUCUGCUCCCACAGUUAUUCCUCUGAAUGUGGAUAGUGUUCUUUCUCAUAAGUCCUUCAGAAUUGUUCUGGAUCACUUCAUUGCCACUAAUGAAGAAGUCCAUUACAUUUGAUUGUACCACAGUGUUUCAGUCUCUGUGUACAAUGUUCUCCUGGUUCUGCUCCGUUCACUCUGCAUCAAUUCCUAGAGAUCAUUCCAGUUCCCAUGGAAUUCCCUGGAGGAGACUUUUGGGAGUCCCUUGGACAGCAAGGAGAUUAAAUCAAUUUAAAGAAAUUAACUCACAUUAUUCACUAGAAGGUCAAAUCCUGAAGCUGAAGUUUAAAUAUUUUGGCCACAUAAAGAGAGGAUAGAACACACUCAUUGGAAAAGACCCUGAUGUUGGGAGAGAUUGAAGGCAAAAGUAAAAGGGGAGGGCAGAGGAUGAGAUGGAUAGAUAGUGUAAUGGAAGUAAUGAACAUAAACUUGGACAGUCUUCAGGAGAUAGUGGAGGAGAGAAGGCAUUGGUGUGCUUUAGUCAAUAAAGUCAUGAAAAGUCAGAUACUACUGAACAACACUGUGUGUUUGUGUAACAUGUAUUAACCGACUUACAUGCUAUUUUCAACUUUGUAAAGUACUUUAUAAACCCUAUCUCAUGGGAAUUCCAGAAACUUGAUAAGCUACAGUCUCAAGGUGAACAAACAUUUAUUAAGCACUUACUAUACAUCUGGCUGGGUGAUAAGUACUCAGGAUGCAGAUACAAGCAAAAAGAAAGACAAUCUCUGCCCCCAAAGUAUGUACAUUCUAAUAGAGAAGAGAGUACCUAAAACAGAUAGAGAGACUGCAGUACCCAUGAGUAGUCAUGGUGACAAAAUCCAGAGAAUCAGAAUCAGAGCUGGGAUGGGAAUGAAGGAUGGGUAGACCCUUCCUCAAAAUGGAGUUUCUGUAAGGAAUUCAUCAAUGGGAGAAGGAAAUCACAAGGGUAAGAGGAUUGUAGGGGAUAAGAGAAUGCUUAUUGAUGCAUAAUAAUAAAAUCUGGAGAGUCAUAUAGUACACUUUCUUCAGUUUACAAAAUUUAAAUUACUUGCCCAAGGUGACAAAAGUCAUGAUUUGAAUCCAGGUCUUCUGACUCCAAUUUUAAUCUUCUAUCCUCUUUGAGAUACUGCCAAUCAUAUAUCCAUGUGACAUGGGCAUAGACACAAAUAUAGUUAGGGAGUGAAUAUUAUAAGUGCAUGCAUAUGCAUUUACAGACAUAUAAUUCUUCUCCAUGGAAGUUAUUUAGCAGUACUGUCACUCAAAUAAUUCAAUUUAAAUUACUUUAUCUGGAUUGAGAGGUUAUAAGUUGGAACAAGGUUGAAACCAGGUAUUUAUUGUUCUACCCAGUUCAAACUGUAGGAAGACGAGCCACUUUAUUGAAUCUCCAACUUGAUUACUCGAAGAAUAUAAGAAAGAGUGUAAUUUAGGCUGUUUAAGUUUAGUCUUUUCCCUCUCAGAGAGCCGGAAGAAAGGAAUGUUUCCCUUUUCCUUAGCUUUAGUUGCUAGGCAGCUGCAGUUUCAUUGUAAGGUAGAUUCAGUUAAGGUAAUGACAUCGCAGCUCUAAGAAUAGCAUGCUAGCUUUACAGGAAUUGCGUUUUUAGCCUACAUAUAGCAUAUAUUCAUGUGUUCAGGGUAUUCCAGGGGAAGAAAUACUCAUUUAACCAGAUUUGAUGAGUGUAGCGAGGCAAUGGAAAAUAGGCGAGCAUCUUAGAGCCUCACCUCUGAUCCAGCAGUGAUUCCAACUGAUAAGCAGGCUACUUUUGGUUUUAAGGAUUUAGGAAUGACGUCUGAACAUACAGCUGGACAACAGAUGAUGAAGAUGAUGAUGAUUGGCCUCUAAGUGCAACUGGUCUCUGUUGGCUGACUCUUUCUUUUAGAUUCUGCCCUUGGAAGUAGUAGGGAAGGAAGUUAAUAUGGUGAUUUUCAAAAAGACUUGAACUAGACCAAUGAAAAGAGAGAUGAUUCUUCAGCUAUAAAUGCUUUACUCUCAUAAGCAAAGUCUGUGUUGUUCUCGAUGAGUUUGAAAUAAAGUCAUCUUUGAAAAACUGAA
Monodelphis domestica (gray short-tailed opossum) is the source of this 2126-nucleotide long non-coding RNA. RefSeq lists it as uncharacterized. The record is from RefSeq and is a predicted model, not a curated record. NCBI's taxonomy places the organism in Eukaryota, Metazoa, Chordata, Mammalia, Didelphimorphia, Didelphidae.